RNAcentral lists this unclassified non-coding RNA (210 nucleotides) under soil metagenome. RNAcentral describes it as "partial contains 5.8S ribosomal RNA, internal transcribed spacer 2, and large subunit ribosomal RNA". The record is from RNAcentral.
AACGCACGAGACCUGCGGACCUGCGGAGGGAUCAUUACUGAAGGAUAAAUGGGGUUUGAGACUGCGUCAGUAAUGGCGUGUGCUCGAUCCCACAUACAUUUGACACCUUUUUGUGCACGAAUGGGGGGAGUUUGCUCCCUUGAUUUUUAAAUACCGUAUAUGCAUGUCAUACUCUAAGGAGUAAUAUACAACUUUCAACAACGGAUCUCU